RNAcentral lists this long non-coding RNA (3334 nucleotides) under Triticum aestivum (bread wheat). RNAcentral's name for it is "long non-coding RNA (TAES_LNC014485)". Lineage: Eukaryota; Viridiplantae; Streptophyta; Magnoliopsida; Poales; Poaceae. The record is from RNAcentral.
GAAAUUUGUGUGGACAGGAAGGCCGGAAAGAGCAAAUUACUUUUCACUCUCCACUACAGAUCUAUGUGUAGGUGCUACUGCUAACAACAGGAAUCCUGCACCAACCAAAGUUUGGAAGUACAUUAUCAAAGACUUGGUCGUUACGUACUUUCCAAAUGCAGCAGGUCUCUAAAUAGCAAUUUCCAUGGCAAAUAGUUUGUUGAUCUGUUCGUUAACAAUCUCUAUCCCUCGAAUAAUUUUGUUGCCUUUUCUCUAUUAGCAUUGCAAGGCAAAUGAAAAAUCCAAGAAAAAUACAGCUAUAUUCCUUGACAUUAGCACUCGAUCCGGCAGAACAUUUCCAAAGCAAAUUGAAAUGGAAUAAAAGAUCCCUCAACUAUAAAUAUGCCCGCCAAAAGACUAAGGCACACCAUGGAAUCAGGAGCCCUGCUGGAUUAGUAGCAAUAGAUGUCAAUAAGGAAGCUCAUAGUUAUAUAAAAUAGCAAUAGAUAAUUUUUUUGACGAAUAGAUCAACAAAAAGAUAAAAAAGCAAUAGAUAUAUUACUAGUCCCAACGAAAAGAUUGAUCACAUGACAGUCAUGAUAUGAGAAGAAAAAAGACAGAUGCAUCAAGUAGCGGAACGGGGCAAGAACACAACCCACUUUAUUUUUUGCAUGUAUUCUCAGCAUAGAUGAAUUAUACAAUUAGAAGAAAAAAUACUACCAUGAGACGGUACAUAAAAGAUCCCUUGCCAAACCCCAAGUAAAAGGCAACACAAUUGUAAGUGAGAGUAAUAAACAUGGUCACAAAGCUGAUGACACCUACAUUGGUAAUGGCCUAGCUCUCUACAGUUUUUGAUGAAGAUUUUGCCCCACGUUACUCACAAUAAGAAGGGAACAUUACCUACAGAUGCGAAAUCACUUUAGAGCAGCCGAAAGAUGAAGAUUUGAGCACCCACUCCACUACUCCUUUGGCAAAUUUUUGGUCAUUUCCACAAUCAAAUUAACAAAAAAUGGAAUGAUCCAAUGAGUCUACAGCACCAACAAAAAUGAAAUCAUGUGCAUUUGAUAGAAAUGUACAUAUGAAUAUAUCAACAAACUUCAACAAAUUGAUAUAUUGAACCCUUUAGAACUGUUGAUGCACAAAUAUUGAACCAUACAUAACUGGUGAUUAUUUGCUAGAUUUAGGUUAAUUAGCAUGAAGGUCAAGAUAAUGGAAUGAAGAAAGCAUUGUGAAUGAAAAAUCAGAAUAUGAUUUGGAAUCCCAUACGCUCAAAAGAACUCUGCAAUGCUGUGAAAAUAAAACCGUGUUUGAAUUACAAAGUUUCCUUAGAGGAAAACAUAUCUCCCAGCCCCCGCGUCGCUCCCAGGGGCGACACGGGAGGCGAAACCCUAGCCGCCGCCCAGGCUCCCCUCCUUCCCCUCCCUCUCCUCGCCAUCGCCGGAGGAUGCCAGCGGGCAAAGCCCUCACCGGUGGACGGCAGCGGUGGGGCACUCAUUCGUGUGCUCGCGCGCUGCUGCUGGGCGUGCUGAAGCGGCGGGAGCGCGCGGUGGCGCGGCAGGCGGCCGUCUUCUCGCGGGGAGGUCUAGAUGGUGUGGACUGCAUGCACGGUGGCGCUUCCAUGGCGGCUGCCGGCCGCUGAUGCGUGCGGCAGAGUUGAGGGCGCCCAGAUCUGGGCCGCACGAGCCCGCCCAGGCCCGCGACAAUCACUCUGCCCCCACCCACCCUUUUCCCUCCUCCCACCCUUCCCGGCCACCGCCGGCGGUUGCCGCUGGGUUAGUAAGCACGCGCGCGGUGACCCUAACGGUUGCUGCUCCACUGUGCCCCGGCGGAUCCUGGCAACGGAGGCUGAGGGCCAGCGCGGCGAUGGUGCGGUGCAGGUGGCUGCUGCCGCCUGCUGGACGCGCUCCCGAUGGUGCCCGGCCUGUUGGAGCUGCACUGGUCGGUGCCCACUCCUGCGACGACAACGUUUCUAGGCUUCCCCCAUGUCUGUUGGUCUUUUCCGACGAUUCUUCGCCAUGCCCGGUCUGCAUCUGCAUUUAAGGUCUUCGUUCUUGGGUGUGGGUGAAAUCCCCGUGCAGCGACGGCUUGCGCUGUCAACGGCAACGCCCGAGGGUGUCGUCACCUCCUUGGAGGCAUUGGCAUGACCUUGACCGGACCUCCUCCUCGAGCACCGGGAGAAAUCCUAGGUCCGGCCUCCCGGACCGGGCAGCGGCGGCGUCUCAACGUUGUUCCCCUCUUGAUGGCGCUGCUUUGGCUGCAAGUGGAGUACUUGAUGCGACAGACGGUGGUUGGCGAUGCAUCGCUCUGGCAUAGACUACUACACAAGGAGCAGGUCGCAAUGUUUGCCUGCACUGGCGCUCCCCAAUGAAUGCUACACCAGUUCCAAUCAGGCCCUGCCUUUCACCUGCCAACUCUCUAGGCACAUGGGUGCAAGGUACAUCGGCCUGGGCAGUCCUAAAGCUGCAUUCGUCCCUGGAAGUGUCUUGCAAUGGCAGUGAUGCUCCCUGUUGCUCCGAGUCUCGGUGCUUCUCCAUUUUGGCUGGAGGCAAGGCUGGGCGAGGCCUAAUGUCACUGAGUGUCUAUAGUUGAGGGCACCUCCUCACCUAGCUGUAGUCACUUGGUGAGGAUGGUCGUGUGUGUGUGUGCGUGUGUGUGUCCCUCCUUUCUGGAGGUUGUACCCCUGAUGUCUUCCUGUUCAAUGCAAUGAAACGCAACUCUUUUGCAUUUUCUCGGAAAAAACAAAACAUAUCUUACCAUCAUAUUGCAGCGAUGACGUAUUUUUCAAUCAUACAAAAACCAUUGGUUGUCAAUGUUAUACCCACACAUGGUGUUAAACGACAAAACAUUCUUGCAUUUUUAAUAUAUAAUCCAUGUCUUCAUCUGUUGGGGUGGCAAUAUAGAUCUCAAAGUUUGUUCGUACAGUGCCAAAAGAUGAGUGGAAUGACAUCAACUUCACUGAUUUAUAUCUUCUAUAUUUCAAAUGAAAGUGGUCAUGUGGACAAAGCCCCUAGCCAACUUCAUGAAAAAGAGAAUGGAUCUAUGCCGACACUGAAAUAAUCAUAAUGGUAUGGAUCAGUAAUCCUAUAAUUAUGAUACAACACGUGUUUUUGAGAUCAAUAUAAUGCAAGAGGGAACGCCAUAUUAACUUUUCAUGAACUGGCAGGCAUGCCACAAUUUUGGAGCAAUGGUGCAGACACCAACCUGAUGCUGAAGACUAUGGGAGCGAUGCCGCUCCACUAUCUGAAGGGAAAUUUCUGAGGGAGCAUGGGAAGUUGCCGAGAGGCAGCGACCUCGUCGCCUCUGGGCAGCAGGGAGGUGGUGGAGGUCGUCCUCAAGGAGACAGAGUCGUGGAGGU